AGGUGCAGUUUGCAGUGCCUCCCUCCCCAGCCAAACCUGGGAGUAACAGCACAGCUGGAUCUCUGUGAAGGCGCAUGGGAAAGGUCACUACUUCUAACCGGCCUGGGGCACCGCUCGUUCCCCUUCCAGCAUUGUUGCUUGUUUGAGACCUCCCUGGGCAGAGCAGCAGCAAAGCACCCCUUGUUUUCUUCCUUCUGGGGUGUGGACACGUUGCUGCCUCUCCCUAGUGGGUGGCUGUCUAAACUUUAUUUGGUGACAAAGACACCUCUGGUGACCCUGCUGCGGUAUGUGACUCGUUUUCUUCACCUCAGAAACACAGAGCACCUUUUCACUGCUGUGGCAGCAGCUCGGAGAUCCUAACUCACACCAAGCUUUUUGUUUUGUCUUAUCUGUCCCUUUCCCUAUCUGCAAGUCCUCAGUGACUCUAAUGGUUUCAAACAGUGCAGGCAACUGUGUUUUCAUUUUUAUGUUGAACAAAAUGUCAGCAGGUGACAACCAAGAGUUGCUGGUGCCAGCUGUAAUUUAGUAGUGCUAAAUAUGGUAAACAGUCUGGUUCCAUGGCCUUUUUUAGAAAGGGCAGUAUUAUCAUGAUACCAUUUUCUAUCAUCCCAUUGCACUAGGGAAAACAGGGGCCAGCAGCAAUAUGUCUAAACCUGUAUUUCACCCAAUAACAACAUUAUCACUGAUUUGUUCACUCCUUUCACCUCCACUCCCCAAACCCCAGUUCAGGGUCAUUCUUCAGCCUUGACUCACUGGAACCUCUUCAAUGUUGUCAUUUUCUUUUUGGACUGUGUUUAAAUACAUAUCACUUGCAUGCUUUACUUUUAUAUGAACCACAGUACUUCUCAAAAUCCUAUUCUAUUGGUUUAGGAGUAAACUCCCUCCAGCUGAAUUAACUGGAAUUACUACAAAUAUUUAGUGCUUCAGAACCAGUUGUUGUCAGAAAUGAAGCUACCUUCUAUCUCAAUUUUGUUGGCACCUGAGGUCAGCCUGCUUUUAGAUCUCUGUGUUCCCAGGAAGUCUGAACUCUGGCGGCACUUUUUACCGCUUCUGUGUUGCUUGGUGAUCACUCUGAGCCAGAGAGGCUGACCUGCGCCUGGCUCGUCUGCCUGCUCGGCCUCACGUAACACAAGCUCCUGAGUUUUGCAAGACUGCAGGUGAGGGCUGUACUGCCAAGAGACAUCAUUUGUGGUCAUGUUUUAGGACAUGGUAUCACAAGACAUGCAGAAUUAAUGUAGUUCA
RNAcentral lists this long non-coding RNA (1242 nucleotides) under Apteryx owenii (little spotted kiwi). Its description in RNAcentral is "lncRNA (ENSAOWG00000005679.1)". The record is from RNAcentral. Lineage: Eukaryota; Metazoa; Chordata; Aves; Apterygiformes; Apterygidae.